Balaenoptera musculus (blue whale) is the source of this 703-nucleotide long non-coding RNA. RefSeq lists it as uncharacterized. The record is from RefSeq and is a predicted model, not a curated record. The transcript has 7 exons. Lineage: Eukaryota; Metazoa; Chordata; Mammalia; Artiodactyla; Balaenopteridae.
ACAAAUAUUGUUUACUUAUUAAUUAUAUAGAGGUACUUUUGGAGAGCCUAAACUGUUCCUGAUAUUUUUCAUGAGUCACCUUAUUUGAUUAUACCAAAAAGCCCUUACAAAAUGGGAACGAUCAUACUCAUUUUACAGCCAACCUCCUCCUCCGCCAACCUAACCUGUGCUGGGUCACCCGAUCUCCUCUCUUCUCUCCGGGCCCUCGUUUGCCUGCAGAACUCCUUCAGUCUAAUGGCUUCAGAUACCAUCUGUAGGUGCUGAAGACUUCCUAACCGUGGCCUGGAACCAACCCUGCAACAUCUCUGAGGGACAGAUUCUGAAUGCACGUAGGGCAGGGCGAAAAAGAGGGAGCCCCUUACUCAUCCAGGAGAUGUGAAUCAACUGUCCAACAUGCCUAAGACACUAGUUCCUGUCCUGGAAGGUACUCAAUCUGCCUGGAAGAAUGGGUCUACAUUUUGGCACAGUUUGGUUUGUUUACGGAAUGAUGUCAUCUGGGGAAGGAGCUCUUUUUCCUGAGGCAAGGAAAGUUUGAGAAGUACAGCCAGAGGGGAGGGGAGCCUGGAACGUUCUCCAAGAUGGAGGUGACUUGGCUGUCAUGGAGAAGGACCAUCUGGGGGUGAGGCUGCAGGUUGGCAGGUGUCACGGAGACCACCUGGCCCCGCCCCACCCGGCCUGGUACUCACGGGCAUCCUGGUGCCCA